This 3425-nucleotide ribosomal RNA is filed under the name Triticum aestivum (bread wheat). Its description in RNAcentral is "partial small subunit ribosomal RNA". The record is from RNAcentral. Lineage: Eukaryota; Viridiplantae; Streptophyta; Magnoliopsida; Poales; Poaceae.
CAGGGUAGGUGAGUAGCGGCGGCGGAGUAGAGGGUGGAGCCCUAGGUAGGGGUAGGUUAGUCACACACGCAGGGACUAGGUUUAGGAGAGCUAGAGAGGGUGGUUGGUCGCGGAAGGGACUAAGGGAGCAGGUGGAGGACGUCGGGCUCGUGGCCAGCCGGUGACAUCGAGGAGGUGCCGGAGGAAGGAGCGGCUGGCUGGUUCGAAGCACGCGGAGACGCAGCUCCAUGAGGAGUAGGGGUUCGGAGCACGGCGUCGGAGGAAGAGGAGCACGGGCGUAGGGUGGCUCAAGGAGACGAACGCGUCGGUUGCGGGCUCGAGAAACGACGAGCAGUUCGGUAGGUGGCGGCGUCCGCAGUGGCCGCUGGUCUCCGGAGGAGCAGCGGGGAGCUCGCCCUCACGUUGAGAUGGCGGGUACCGGAGAUGGCGCGGCCUCGAAACGACGGUGUCCGCUAUCGUUGUUGUUGAGGGCACGUGCACAGGUGACUUGGGGCAGCGGGAGGUAGAUGUAGCAGCCGCUGGUGGACGUCGUCCUGGGACGCGGGGACGGAGAAGGAAGGAGCAGGAAGAGAGGAGGGAGAGAGUGGACGAGAGAGACAGCACGUUGUCCCUCGGGGCUCCUCAAAACGCGUCCGGUAGGAGCAGGAGGCACGGAUGUAGUCGAGCUCCCGUCCUAGGGGAACUAGUGCACGAGAAGUAACUGGCAUCGAGGCCUAGUCUAGCUGGAGAGGAAAGGACAUGGAGGUGGCGGGCCUAAGCGCGGCUAGGCGCGGAGGGAGGCAGGGGACGUAGCGGAGCAGCGGCCUCAUCUUCGAGGCAAGCGGUUCGCGGCGCGGGGACGAAGCAGAGCGACGUUCUCCUCGUCGCUCAGUCGCGGGUCGGCGGGGUUUCGUUCCUGUCGCUGUUCAGGAGGAAGAGGGCAACUGGCGACGCGCUCCGGGUCGACGGGCCGGAGGUGGAGGUCAACCCGGAUCCGGGUUACACUCGUGUGGGGAUCGCGGGGUGGGGAAAAAAAGGACAACAACCCGGUCGUCUAGGCCGGGUAAAAAAAACUCCGAGACGCUUAAAUCGAUUAAAGAUCUUUUGACAACAAAAUGUCUUUUGGGGAACAUCUAGUACGUAUAUUAUUGAAUUAUUGGCACGUAGCCAAAUUUUGUUUGAAUUAUACUUUCAACGAAUCUUAAAACAGAUCAAAUUAUUAUACAGUGAAAGUAGAUACAAAUUUUACAAAUUUACGACAAACCAAUUUAAACGGGGAUACAGUACAAUUUUACUAAAUUAAGUAUUGAUAAAUUGGCAUUGAGCCUUAAAUUACUUGAAAUAUACAUAUACCCCAUCUUAAAACGUAUCAAAUAGUACCACAUGAACUAAACCUACAAAUUGUUGAGAUUUUAACACAAAUCCCGUCUUGUUGUGGAUUAGAUUUUAUACGUAUACCCCUAAAUGGCCUUAAACAACAAGCAACAAAGGCCGGAUUAAAUUGGAACUGAUCUAUCCAUCAAAAGUAAACGAAGUGGGAGAACGGUACAAAUUGUUGUAAAUUAUAACAACCCAUGUAUUUGCUCUAGCUUGAUUUAUUGAACUUGCACCACAAAGUAGUUAUACGUUGCCUCAACGUAUAACUCGAGGUGAAUUAAACAUCCUAACGAACACGUGAAACGGUACGGUACGGAGUAAUUUGGCAUGUACGUAGUAUGAACAAACGCGUAGCACGGUACUAAUACACCACCAACAAAUGAUACAACAAACGAAAGAAAGGCUACAUAAAGAAGAGCCAUUAGGCCAUUACAGCGCAAACACUCCUGGGUAAGCUGAUGCAGGCAAACAGAAGAAGUACCUGAGCAAGAAGAAGGAACGCCCUAAAGUCCGUUCUACUGGUAUGGGAGCUUUAGUGAAGAUAGAAACGAACGAUCAACGAGUGAGAAAACGAUACGGAUACAGCGCUAUGGAUGGUGAACGAUAUAGUACGGAGGGUAUAGCAAUUCGGUUCGGAGAUUGGGUGGAACAGAAUCGUUUGGCAACAAACCGAUACAAUGGUGAAACGAGUCGGGGAGAAUAUCGCAACAAUCAAUGUCCACUUCUAACUUCAAACAAGUAACAACCUUGUACCGUUACAACAAGGAACAACCUUGUACAAAUGAACAACCCUAUAGGGUUAUAGAGAAUAAAUUAAUUACGUAGAUAUAUAAACCAUUUCCCACCUUCCGAGCCGGAAUACGGACCACAAAACAAGGUGACAACGGUGGGAUCAAAGGCAGUAUAGCCACAAUACAAGGGCCUAAAACGCAAGGAAUGCGCCAACCCAAUAUUACCCUUGGGGAACUGUCAAGCGGAACUUAUUUUGAGGAGGUCGUUCCGAGUUGUAACCAAAAUGGUAAACGGUGGAUCUAAAAAAAGGGAACCCAUCCGGUCGGGUUCCCAUAAGAAGUAAAUUUGGGGCCCGGUCACGAGGAGACUCACAACCAGGUUGGACAGUCGGCAGCCACCGGUGGUCCCCGUUGAGACCCGACCGGAUGGCUUUCAAACCUGUUAGGCCACACGGAACUCUUGCUCUAUACACGUCGAGGAUAGCCCUAAACAGCCGUGUAAACCCACCGAAACGACCAGAACAAAAUGGUAACAGCUUUACAGAACAUUGGCCCUAAGGCUCAGACUAGCCCAGAAGGGCGAUCUUCCUUAUAGGAAACAACUGGCACUCUCGAACACUACCCGAUUCAACCCUGUGGGGACGUCCCUAUACUUGAAAGCUUUCGGCACGGGCGCCAAUACCCGUCUAUCCUUAAAAAAUUACAGGCCAACAUCUUUUGGACUUCAACUGGAAUUAAUUUUAUGUAGUUGGCGCACGCAUUGGCACUACCAGAGAAGAGCCGCCCCAGGCCCUUCACUUGUGCCACAACCUCAAUACGAACUGCAUCCAACAAGAUCCUAGUGAAGAACUAGUAUCAACAAGCUGGCACGAAAACGGAAGAGAAGAGCGAGAGAAAACGCUUAUCCAAUCGGUGGUAUAUAUGAUCAGCGAACGACGUCGAGGUGGAGUAUGGAAAAUGGAAUGGGUAUUCGAAUUUAUCAGAACUAGCGCUCCCACAUUCUAACGACUCAGGGGCACUGAGUAUCAAUGAAGGUUUUGGUCAAACGUCCACGGCUACUAUGGCCCGUCCACUGAGUUGGUUCGAGUUCCUCCUCGAGCUACUUCUAGAACAGGCAAUACAACAAAGCAAGAUCAACUAGUCAUAACCUCGGGUCAACCCCAGCUAGCCCCUAGACACAUGGUAAACCCCAUCAGAAGAAAAUAAAACCAAGGCAUCAGCCCGGAACUAACAUAGACCUACUACAUUACAAAAAAAGUACAUUAACACACUUCACCGCUAACAUUCGGUUGAUACAUAGAGACAGGGAAUACAUAAUGUACCCAACACACUUCUAAU